Small nuclear RNA from Otolemur garnettii (small-eared galago), 103 nucleotides. The record is from Ensembl. NCBI's taxonomy places the organism in Eukaryota, Metazoa, Chordata, Mammalia, Primates, Galagidae.
UUGCUUCAGCAGCACAUAUAUUAAAAUUGGAAUGAUACAGAGAAGAUUAGGAUGGCCUCUGGGCAAGGAUGACACACAAAUUCAUGAAGCAUUCCAUAUCUUU